GGCAUGGUGCCAGAGUGGUUAAUGGGUAUGACUCGAACUCUUGAGGAAUCAUAUGGCUUCGGCCGCAGCGGUUCAAAUCCGCUCCAUGUCG
Molecule: non-coding RNA, 91 nt
Organism: Emericellopsis atlantica
Lineage: Eukaryota; Fungi; Ascomycota; Sordariomycetes; Hypocreales; Bionectriaceae
Source: the annotation of a RefSeq genome assembly